This 545-nucleotide ribosomal RNA is filed under the name uncultured bacterium. RNAcentral describes it as "bacterial SSU rRNA". It matches the Rfam family "Bacterial small subunit ribosomal RNA", at positions 777 to 1319 of the family's 1533-position model. The record is from RNAcentral.
AAUAGAUACCCAGGUAGUCCACGCCGUAAACGAUGAGUGCUAAGUGUUGGGGGGUUUCCGCCCCUCAGUGCUGCAGCUAACGCAUUAAGCACUCCGCCUGGGGAGUACGGUCGCAAGACUGAAACUCAAAGGAAUUGACGGGGGCCCGCACAAGCGGUGGAGCAUGUGGUUUAAUUCGAAGCAACGCGAAGAACCUUACCAGGUCUUGACAUCCCGGUGACCACUAUGGAGACAUAGUUUCCCCCUUCGGGGGCAACGGUGACAGGUGGUGCAUGGUUGUCGUCAGCUCGUGUCGUGAGAUGUUGGGUUAAGUCCCGCAACGAGCGCAACCCUUAUUCUUAGUUGCCAUCAUUCAGUUGGGCACUCUAAGGAGACUGCCGGUGAUAAACCGGAGGAAGGUGGGGAUGACGUCAAAUCAUCAUGCCCCUUAUGACCUGGGCUACACACGUGCUACAAUGGACGGUACAAACGGUUGCCAACCCGCGAGGGGGAGCUAAUCCGAUAAAACCGUUCUCAGUUCGGAUUGUAGGCUGCAACUCGCCUAC